GUAGGGCGCAAGCGUUAUCCGGAAUUAUUGGGCGUAAAGAGCUCGUAGGCGGUUUGUCGCGUCUGCCGUGAAAGUCCGGGGCUCAACUCCGGAUCUGCGGUGGGUACGGGCAGACUAGAGUGAUGUAGGGGAGACUGGAAUUCCUGGUGUAGCGGUGAAAUGCGCAGAUAUCAGGAGGAACACCGAUGGCGAAGGCAGGUCUCUGGGCAUUAACUGACGCUGAGGAGCGAAAGCAUGGGGAGCGAACAGGAUUAGAUACCCUGGUAGUCCAUGCCGUAAACGUUGGGCACUAGGUGUGGGGGACAUUCCACGUUCUCCGUACCGUAGCUAACGCAUUAAGUGCCCCGCCUGGGGAGUACGGCCGCAAGGCUA
Molecule: ribosomal RNA, 372 nt
Filed under: uncultured bacterium
Lineage: Bacteria
Description: bacterial SSU rRNA
Rfam family: Bacterial small subunit ribosomal RNA
Source: RNAcentral